This is a long non-coding RNA of Schistocerca gregaria, 273 nucleotides long. RefSeq lists it as uncharacterized. The record is from RefSeq and is a predicted model, not a curated record. NCBI's taxonomy places the organism in Eukaryota, Metazoa, Arthropoda, Insecta, Orthoptera, Acrididae. The transcript has 3 exons.
UUAACAGCGCGUAGCGUUGCGCAGUUGGUGGUGAGCCGCCAGCAGUGGUCGAUGUGGGGAGUGAGAUGGCGGAGUUUUGAGAGCGAAUAAUCUGGACAGAGAUUGACUUUUGAACACUGUUAAGUUGAGAGUGCAUCACACCUCAGCACGAUGCGGAGAAUGGAAGUGCUUCCCACACGAAAACAAUAAAUAAAAACGAAAACCCAUUGAUGGUGGCACAUUGGUGAAGAAAUAUGUUUGGGUACUGAGAAUAAACGGUGUUUUGCAUAACUG